AGAAUGAACGCUGGCGGCAUGCCUAACACAUGCAAGUCGAACGAAGCCUUCGGGUUUAGUGGCGCACGGGUGUGUAACGCGUGGGAAUCUACCCCUUGGUUCGGAAUAACAGUUGGAAACGACUGCUAAUACCGGAUGAUGACGUAAGUCCAAAGAUUUAUCGCCGAGGGAUGAGCCCGCGUAGGAUUAGGUAGUUGGUGUGGUAAAGGCGCACCAAGCCGACGAUCCUUAGCUGGUCUGAGAGGAUGAUCAGCCACACUGGGACUGAGACACGGCCCAGACUCCUACGGGAGGCAGCAGUGGGGAAUAUUGGACAAUGGGCGAAAGCCUGAUCCAGCAAUGCCGCGUGAGUGAUGAAGGCCUUAGGGUUGUAAAGCUCUUUACCCGGGAUGAUAAUGACAGUACCGGGAGAAUAAGCUCCGGCUAACUCCGCGCCAGCAGCCGC
Molecule: ribosomal RNA, 445 nt
Filed under: uncultured bacterium
Lineage: Bacteria
Description: SSU rRNA
Rfam family: Bacterial small subunit ribosomal RNA
Source: RNAcentral